CCACAGCCAAGGGAACGGGC
Molecule: non-coding RNA, 20 nt
Filed under: Arabidopsis thaliana (thale cress)
Lineage: Eukaryota; Viridiplantae; Streptophyta; Magnoliopsida; Brassicales; Brassicaceae
Also listed under: 2 other names
Source: RNAcentral